This 626-nucleotide ribosomal RNA is filed under the name uncultured Sebacina. RNAcentral describes it as "eukaryotic LSU rRNA". The stretch from base 220 to 373 matches the Rfam family "5.8S ribosomal RNA". The record is from RNAcentral. Lineage: Eukaryota; Fungi; Basidiomycota; Agaricomycetes; Sebacinales; Sebacinaceae.
AAGUAAAAGUCGUAACAAGGUUUCCGUAGGUGAACCUGCGGAAGGAUCAUUAUUGAUUGUGAAUCGUUGCCUCCAGUGCUGGCUCUCGCAAGUGCACGGUUGGUGACUUUCAUCCAACACCCUGUGAACCUUUGGCCUCUUGCUAGCUUCGGCUGGCAGAGGAUUUUUACACACACUCGAAUGUAAUGAAAUUAUUGUCGUGCGCAAGCACUUAUGUACAACUUUCAACAACGGAUCUCUUGGCUCUCGCAUCGAUGAAGAACGCAGCGAAAUGCGAUAAGUAAUGUGAAUUGCAGAAUUCAGUGAAUCAUCGAAUCUUUGAACGCACCUUGCACCCUUUGGCAUUCCGAAGGGUAUGCUCGUUUGAGUGUCAUUGUACUCUCACACUUCUGAUCCUUUGGAUUUGGAGCGGUGGACUUGGGUGUUGCCACUUGACGGUGGCUCACCUCUAAUGCAUUAGUGCAACUCCUGGUUGGACCAUAGUACGGCGUGAUAAGUGUCUUCGCCGGCACCUCGUGAGAGGGUGGCCGAUCGAGAGCUCUGUGCUUUCAAACCGUCCUUGCAAGGACAAUGACUGACAACUUGACCUCAAAUCGAGUAGGACUACCCGCUGAACUUAAGCAUAU